Molecule: non-coding RNA, 95 nt
Organism: Acanthosepion pharaonis
Lineage: Eukaryota; Metazoa; Mollusca; Cephalopoda; Sepiida; Sepiidae
Source: the annotation of a GenBank genome assembly
ACGUGAAAAUAUCGCUUCCCGUAUGAUCAUCGAAGUUAAGCAACGUCAGGUCUGGUCAAUACUAAGACGGGUGACUUCUUGGGACACCAGGUGCU